UGUAAUGUAGCUCAAGUGGUUGAGUAUGUGCCUAGCAAGUGUAAGACUCUGAGUUCAAAUCCCAGUGCUACUA
This 73-nucleotide transfer RNA is filed under the name Dipodomys ordii (Ord's kangaroo rat). It matches the Rfam family "tRNA". Rfam says of the family: Transfer RNA (tRNA) molecules are approximately 80 nucleotides in length. Their secondary structure includes four short double-helical elements and three loops (D, anti-codon, and T loops). The record is from Rfam by way of RNAcentral. Lineage: Eukaryota; Metazoa; Chordata; Mammalia; Rodentia; Heteromyidae.